ACGGUGAGCUCCAGACACACAUUGUUGAGGUCUCCUGGCUGCAAACCGCAGUAUGUGAAAGUGUGAUUCCAAUGCGGGUUCACCGUCCGACGCUCCACCGCUGUCUUGUGCUUGGUGGACUUUUGGCUGUCCGGGAGCAGGAAUAUACUUCAGCACCACAGUCAGUUCUCCCUUGUACUGCAUGGUAGCAUCGAUGCUGCUCUCCAGCUGUAAAAACACGUCGGCACUCGUUCGUUUGGCACAUGACGGGAAAAGGUCUUUAGGAGUGGAGUGGCUACCUUGGGCUGCAGACUGAACCACUCAUCUAUUUGGGAAUCGAACUCCCAGGAGUCAAAAGUCAACUCUACUUCUCCCAGGAAGCUGUUGUGUCCAAAUCGGUCGUGGUGCCACACCGACACUUGCAAGGUACGCGUUUCCAGCUGCGAGUGGCUGAUCACAUACUACACCAAUAAAGAAGACCCAGGUUCUCGUUAAAAACGGGAUUGAUGGUCUUGGCUUUGAUGCCUGUCUUCCUCUUGCUUUGGCGGGACAUGUCCGGCAGCAGGUACGUCUUCACAUAACUGUCAGGAAACACGCAUGCUAACUAUUGCU
Molecule: long non-coding RNA, 591 nt
Organism: Syngnathus typhle (broad-nosed pipefish)
Lineage: Eukaryota; Metazoa; Chordata; Actinopteri; Syngnathiformes; Syngnathidae
Exons: 3
Source: RefSeq, a predicted model, not a curated record